This 726-nucleotide ribosomal RNA is filed under the name Staphylococcus aureus. Its description in RNAcentral is "bacterial SSU rRNA". It matches the Rfam family "Bacterial small subunit ribosomal RNA", at positions 1 to 709 of the family's 1533-position model. Lineage: Bacteria; Bacillati; Bacillota; Bacilli; Caryophanales; Staphylococcaceae. The record is from RNAcentral.
UUUAUGGAGAGUUUGAUCCUGGCUCAGGAUGAACGCUGGCGGCGUGCCUAAUACAUGCAAGUCGAGCGAACGGACGAGAAGCUUGCUUCUCUGAUGUUAGCGGCGGACGGGUGAGUAACACGUGGAUAACCUACCUAUAAGACUGGGAUAACUUCGGGAAACCGGAGCUAAUACCGGAUAAUAUUUUGAACCGCAUGGUUCAAAAGUGAAAGACGGUCUUGCUGUCACUUAUAGAUGGAUCCGCGCUGCAUUAGCUAGUUGGUAAGGUAACGGCUUACCAAGGCAACGAUGCAUAGCCGACCUGAGAGGGUGAUCGGCCACACUGGAACUGAGACACGGUCCAGACUCCUACGGGAGGCAGCAGUAGGGAAUCUUCCGCAAUGGGCGAAAGCCUGACGGAGCAACGCCGCGUGAGUGAUGAAGGUCUUCGGAUCGUAAAACUCUGUUAUUAGGGAAGAACAUAUGUGUAAGUAACUGUGCACAUCUUGACGGUACCUAAUCAGAAAGCCACGGCUAACUACGUGCCAGCAGCCGCGGUAAUACGUAGGUGGCAAGCGUUAUCCGGAAUUAUUGGGCGUAAAGCGCGCGUAGGCGGUUUUUUAAGUCUGAUGUGAAAGCCCACGGCUCAACCGUGGAGGGUCAUUGGAAACUGGAAAACUUGAGUGCAGAAGAGGAAAGUGGAAUUCCAUGUGUAGCGGUGAAAUGCGCAGAGAUAUGGAGGAACAC